Molecule: long non-coding RNA, 988 nt
Filed under: Brassica napus (rape)
Lineage: Eukaryota; Viridiplantae; Streptophyta; Magnoliopsida; Brassicales; Brassicaceae
Description: long non-coding RNA (BNAP_LNC023201)
Source: RNAcentral
AAAACAUCUUUCAGCGUUACGAUCGAGCAAUCUGCUCGAUCGUUGCCCUCCGUCUUACGACUCAUUGGCCUUGGCCUCAUGCUCCUCGCCAUUAUGGCCGAGCAGACCACUAUCAUGUGACUUACACCCAGCGGAUUUGGCGUCGAGAUUCUUAUGCAUAAUCUUUUUUGGUAAUAACUAAAAACAAAGUUCAACGAAAUCCUUUCAAAAUGGCUUUCGUAAAUGAACAAAGUUAUAAGAAAAUGACUUUCGUAUGACUAAGGAAAAGAUUAUACGAAAAAAUGAUCGCAUGGUCAGAACUAAAUCAUACUAAAUCAUUAUCUACUACAUUAGCCACUUCAAGGCCAACUCAUGUAAUGGUACAUAGCUUUUCACAUCAGGCCACACAUAAAGUCAUGACGCUCUAAACAUAAUAUCUUUGGUUCUCUGCCAAUUACACCUUUCUUCAUGCCCAAACUGAAAAUCGGUAGAUCUUUGAAGGACGAUUCUAAACUAGCAUGAUCUUUAUGCUAACACAGAAAUGGUAUAAUCUAACCCUCAACCUGUAAUGCCCUCGGCUGUAUUGAUAAAAAUGGCCUUCACGCCAAGCCAAAACACUUCGUCUACAAAGCAAAACACAUAUGAAAUGUAAGUGUUCUCGUAUAACUUACAUGAGACCAUUUUUAAAGAAGCUAUGCAAAAUAGGUUUCGGAAAACAAGUCACAGAAAAAAACUUUAGAAAACUACCAAAACAAGUCCCCCCAGCUUUGAUUCCAAGCAAAAGGACUUCUUCGUCACAAGGAAGUCUCUCUUGUCUUCUUCCUCGCAGCAAACUGUGAAACAGACUUUCACUAUAUAUCAUCUUGGAACAAAAUCCAAGGAUGACUCCCCCGAAGCCUUCCAUAGGGGUCACAUUGCCUUGUUUUUGCAAUUGAUCACGAGAAUGGCUUAUCUCUUUGCAGCACCAUGUAAUAUUCUGUGAGCAGCUCACUCUUUACAGCCACUCGUC